RNAcentral lists this ribosomal RNA (245 nucleotides) under uncultured bacterium. RNAcentral's name for it is "partial 16S ribosomal RNA". It matches the Rfam family "Bacterial small subunit ribosomal RNA", at positions 524 to 768 of the family's 1533-position model. The record is from RNAcentral.
UACGUAGGUCCCAAGCGUUAUCCGGAGUUACUGGGCGUAAAGAGUCUGUAGCCUGCUGGAUAAGUCUAAUUUUAAAAACCACGACUCAAUCGUGGGGAGGGGUUAGAUACUGUCUAGCUAGAGUAAAGAAGGGGUUAGUGGAAUUCCCGGUGGAGGGGUGAAAUCCGUUGAUAUUGGGAGGAAUGCCGAAAGCGAAAGCAGCUAACUAUUAUUUAACUGACGGUAAAGGACGAAAGCUUGGGUAG